RNAcentral lists this ribosomal RNA (253 nucleotides) under uncultured bacterium. Its description in RNAcentral is "partial 16S ribosomal RNA". It matches the Rfam family "Bacterial small subunit ribosomal RNA", at positions 524 to 776 of the family's 1533-position model. The record is from RNAcentral.
UACGGAGGAGGCAAGCGUUAUCCGGAAUUAUUGGGCGUAAAGCGUCCGCAGGUGGUUAUCCAAGUCUGCUGUUAAAGCGCGAGGCUUAACUUCGUACAGGCAGUGGAAACUGGGUGACUGGAGUAUGGUAGGGGUAGCGGGAAUUCCCAGUGUAGCGGUGAAAUGCGUAGAUAUUGGGAAGAACACCAGCGGCGAAAGCGCGCUACUGGGCCAUUACUGACACUCAUGGACGAAAGCUAGGGGAGCGAAAGGG